GUUGGACAAACGAUACAAAGGUACCGUAAACCUCUGACUAUAAGCCCUGGGCUUAUAUACUUUCGUAAGCGAUUUUUGAUGGGCUUAUACAAAGGGGGCUUAUAUACGGGGGGGGGGCUUAUACAUGGACGAUCUUUUGUGUUAGUAAUAACAAGUCAUACAUAAACAAGUCAGUCAUAAACAGGAAAAUAAACAUGUAUUAAGCAGCGAUUACUGGG
Molecule: non-coding RNA, 218 nt
Organism: Paramuricea clavata
Lineage: Eukaryota; Metazoa; Cnidaria; Anthozoa; Malacalcyonacea; Plexauridae
Source: the annotation of a GenBank genome assembly